This 493-nucleotide ribosomal RNA is filed under the name uncultured bacterium. RNAcentral's name for it is "bacterial SSU rRNA". It matches the Rfam family "Bacterial small subunit ribosomal RNA", at positions 899 to 1397 of the family's 1533-position model. The record is from RNAcentral.
ACUCAAAGGAAUAGACGGGGGCCCGCACAAGCGGCGGAGCAUGUGGCUUAAUUCGACGCAACGCGAAGAACCUUACCAAGGCUUGACAUCGUAUUGACAAGUACAGAAAUGUACCUCCUUCGGGCAGUAUGACAGGUGGUGCAUGGCUGUCGUCAGCUCGUGUCGUGAGAUGUUGGGUUAAGUCCCGCAACGAGCGCAACCCUUGUCCCAUGUUGCCAUCAUUUAGUUGGGCACUCUUGGGAGACUGCCGGUGUAAAACUGGAGGAAGGUGGGGAUGACGUCAAGUCAUCAUGCCCUUUAUGCCUUGGGCUGCACACGUGCUACAAUGGUCGGUACAAAGAGAAGCGAUACCGCGAGGAGGAGCCAAUCUCAUAAAGCCGAUCUAAGUCCGGAUUGAAGGCUGAAACUCGCCUUCAUGAAGUAGGAGUCGCUAGUAAUCGUGGAUCAGCAUGCCACGGUGAAUACGUUCCCGGGCCUUGUACACACCGCCCGU